Molecule: long non-coding RNA, 715 nt
Filed under: Olea europaea (common olive)
Lineage: Eukaryota; Viridiplantae; Streptophyta; Magnoliopsida; Lamiales; Oleaceae
Description: long non-coding RNA (OEUR_LNC013283)
Source: RNAcentral
AAUAUUGGACCGGACCGGGUCGGGUCCGUUUGGGUUUAUAUAUAUACACAGCUAGGGUUUGAGGUCCAUUAUGUUUUCAUUAUUCUUGCUAGCACAAGAGAGAAACCCUAGUCGUUGCAGUCUAUUCUCUGUGUGGAUUACAUUGGAGGCUGGACAAUUGGACAGCUGUGGGAGGCAGAUUCAAGCUGCUGGAAAGGAAUAACGCGAAGGAGUUUGCAAAUCACAAGUAAAGGUAUAUUUCUUAUCACAGUUUUUAUUUAAAUACAAAGCUGAAUCCUGAAUGGGAAUUGAAACUUGUUAAAUUCCGCUGUGCAUGUUUAAGUAAAUUCCCAACAAUUACAUCUCAUACUCGAAUUUCUCACCUUCACAUUGCACCCUUCUCCUUAGCAUUUAUUCCAACUUUGAGCCUCAAUUCUACCAACAAGCUGUGAAAUUUGAGCACUGGAGGGAUGCAAGGGCCACUGAACUAGCAGCCAUGGAAAUGAAUCGAACCUGGAUUGUUAUUUUCACAUAUUGUCUGCUUUAGGGCUUUGGAAAUUCUGUUCUGCCAGCUAUAUACAGUAGCUAACUUCUAUAUGCGAGCAAAACCAUCACAGGACUCCUCCAGAACAGACCCAUGAGGUCAGUCCCACACGGGACCCAUGGAUGUUAAAAAAUUGCAAAAAAAUGCUGACCUCUCCCAUGUAAAGCCUCUGUAAGUGUUUUUUUUUUUUUU